Molecule: long non-coding RNA, 2482 nt
Filed under: Salmo salar (Atlantic salmon)
Lineage: Eukaryota; Metazoa; Chordata; Actinopteri; Salmoniformes; Salmonidae
Description: lncRNA (ENSSSAG00000088136.1)
Source: RNAcentral
AGAGGAGAGGAGAGGAGAGGAGAGGAGAGGAGAGGAGAGGAGAGGAGAGGAGAGAAAAACGAGGUUCAUCAUCGAUGGUGACCACUGCUUGAGUCAAAACAACUUCCUUUUCAAAUAAGCAUCAACAAUUUCAAAUUGUAUCCGUGGUACUCAACAAAUCAAACUCUCAAUGUAAUUGUAAUAUAAAUGUGACAAGCAACAAAGGAAAGUAACAAACAUUUUUUUUUUUGUAUUUUUUUUUUUGUAUUUUAUUAAUCUUAAUUCAUUUAGGUUUUUAUUUAUUAUGAGGUCUGCAUUGUUACCAAAUAGUUAUAUGGUUUCACAGCUGUAUGCGCUUCAACUUUGGGUUUUAGUCCUGUUAUUUCUGCCCAUUUGGUUUGACUAGCCCAGUGUCUGCGUGCACUUUGGGUUUUAGUCGUGAUGGAGAGAGAGACAGAUCAAGGAGAAGAGGAGAUGGAGAGAGAGACAGAUCGAAGAGGAGAUGGAGAGACAGACAGAUCAAGGAGAAGAGGAGAUGAGAGAGAGACAGAUCAAGGAGAGGAGGAGAUGAGAGAGAGAGACAGAUCAAGGAGAAGAGGAGAUGAGAGAGAGAGACAGAUCAAGGAGAAGAGGAGAUGGAGAGACAGACAGAUCAAGGAGAAGAGGAGAUGAGAGAGACAGAUCAAGGAGAAGAGGAGAUGGAGAGACAGACAGAUCAAGGAGAAGAGGAGAUGGAGAGACAGACAGAUCAAGGAGAAGAGGAGAUCAACAGAAGGAUAUAGCAGUAGGUAGAGCUUUUCAAAGAAUAAUUGAAUUAUUCUUUUUAAAUGUUUUUAGUUUUAUCCAGAUUUCGCCCCUGAUAACAAUUAAUUAAACACUUCUGUUUUAGAUCUUUUGAAAUACAUGAAUUAUACUGUUUGGCUGCUUCUUCACAGCUUUCUGAGGAGACACGAGGAGAAGAGAUGGAGAGAGACAGACAGCUUUCUGAAGGAGACAUGAGGAGAAGAGAUGGAGAGAGACAGACAGCUUUCUGAAGGAGACAUGAGGAGAAGAGAUGGAGAGAGACAGACAGCUUUCUGAAAGAGACAUGAGGAGAAGAGAUGGAGAGAGACAGACAGCUUUCUGAAAGAGACAUGAGGAGAAGAGAUGGAGAGAGACAGACAGCUUUCUGAAGGAGACAUGAGGAGAAGAGAUGGAGAGAGACAGACAGCUUUCUGAAGGAGACAUGAGGAGAAGAGGAGAUGGAGAGAGACAGACAGCUUUCUGAGGAGACAUGAGGAGAAGAGAUGGAGAGAGACAGACAGCUUUCUGAAGGAGACAUGAGGAGAAGAGGAGAUGGAGAGAGACAGACAGCUUUCUGAAGGAGACAUGAGGAGGAGAGGAGAUGGAGAGAGACAGACAGCUUUCUGAAGGAGACAUGAGGAGAAGAGAUGGAGAGAGACAGACAGCUUUCUGAAGGAGACAUGAGGAGGAGAGGAGAUGGAGAGAGACAGACAGCUUUCUGAAGGAGACAUGAGGAGAAGAGAUGGAGAGAGACAGACAGCUUUCUGAAGGAGACAUGAGGAGAAGAGAUGGAGAGAGACAGACAGCUUUCUGAAGGAGGCAUGAGGAGAAGAGGAGAUGGAGAGAGACAGACAGCUUUCUGAGGAGACAUGAGGAGAAGAGAUGGAGAGAGACAGACAGCUUUCUGAAGGAGGCAUGAGGAGAAGAGAUGGAGAGAGACAGACAGCUUUCUGAAGGAGACAUGAGGAGGAGAGGAGAUGGAGAGAGACAGACAGCUUUCUGAAGGAGACAUGAGGAGAAGAGAUGGAGAGAGACAGACAGCUUUCUGAAGGAGACAUGAGGAGAAGGGUGUUAGACACCUUGCUGGGUGAUUGUCUUCACCCGUUUAGAGUCAGGGACAAGAGCAGAUUGUUAUACAAGAGGAGGAAAAAAUGGGAGAGAGAGAGACAGCUUUCAACAACAACUGCCCGGCAGAGACCAUGGAAACCAUGGAAACCACGUAACAACUCCUCCCCCUCAGAGAGGUCAAAGGUCAUAUGCGUUUAUCUAUUAGCACCAAGGUAUUGUUGAGUAGAAGAGUGGUUCUGUCUGUCGCUGGAUCAGGAAAUGCUCUCUUCCUAUCAGUCACAAGAAUUUAAUUCUUCUUUCAGUCGCUUUGAGGAGGUUCAAGGAAAUGAACAAACUGUCAGGAACAACUAUCUCAAAUGACAUGUAGCCAGAAAAUGACAUGUAGCCAGAAAAUGGCAUGUAGCCAGAAAAUGGCAUGAGGUGAUCUGACGAAGAUAUCCCGGCAGGGGAAUGGAAGCCGUAACGUGGGUCACAACACUGAAAUGGUUAAAACAGACGUGAGGUGAAGUCUGUGGGCUGCAUCCCAAAUGAUCCCAUAUUCCCUAUGUAGUGCACUACUUUUAACCAGGGACUUAUGGAACACUAUUCCCUAUAUAGUACACUACUUUAGACCAGGGCCCUAUAGAACACUAUUCCCUAUAUAGGCUACUAC